GACGAACGCUGGCGGCGUGCCUAAUACAUGCAAGUCGAACGCACAGUUUAUACCGUAGCUUGCUUCACCAUAGACUGUGAGUUGCGAACGGGUGAGUAACGCGUAGGUAACCUGCCUGGUAGCGGUGGAUAACUCUUGGACACGAUCGUUAAUACCGCAUAAUCUUGAUUAUUCCAUGAUAAUUGAUUGACAUAUGCUAUUGCAUCACUACCAGAUGGACCUGCGUUGUAUUAGCUAGUAGGUGAGGUAACGGCUCACCAAAGCGACGAUACAUAGCCGAACUGAGGGAGGGAUGGGCAACACGGGAACUGAGACAAGGACAAGACGCCUGCGGGAGGGAGCAGUGGGGAAUGUUACGCAAUGGGCGAAAGCCUGACGGAGCAACGCGGAGGGGGUGAUGAGGGUCUUCGGAUAGUAAAACUCUGUUAUUGGGGAAGAACAUAGGUGUAAGUAACUGUGCACAGCUUGACGGUACCUAAUCAGAAAGCCACGGCUAACUACGUG
RNAcentral lists this ribosomal RNA (504 nucleotides) under uncultured bacterium. RNAcentral's name for it is "partial 16S ribosomal RNA". It matches the Rfam family "Bacterial small subunit ribosomal RNA", at positions 28 to 507 of the family's 1533-position model. The record is from RNAcentral.